CAGAGUUGCAAAACUCCCAGCCAUUGUGAACCUACCUCACCGUUGCUUCGGCGGGUGGCCCGGGGCAACCCAGGCCGCGCCGGCACCCUUCUUCGGGGGGCCCGGCAAGCCCGUCAGAGGACCGAAACCCUGUAAUUACUGGCCUCUCUGAGUAACUUAUACAAUAAGUCA
RNAcentral lists this unclassified non-coding RNA (171 nucleotides) under soil metagenome. Its description in RNAcentral is "partial internal transcribed spacer 1". The record is from RNAcentral.